CAGUCGCCACGGUAAUACGUAGGUCCCGAGCGUUGUCCGGAUUUAUUGGGCGUAAAGGGAGCGCAGGCGGUUUAGUAAGUCUGAAGUUAAAGGCAUUGGCUCAACCAAUGUAUGCUUUGGAAACUGUUAGACUUGAGUGCAGAAGGGGAGAGUGGAAUUCCAUGUGUAGCGGUGAAAUGCGUAGAUAUAUGGAGGAACACCGGUGGCGAAAGCGGCUCUCUGGUCUGUCACUGACGCUGAGGCUCGAAAGCGUGGGUAGCGAACAGGAUUAGAUACCCCUGUAGUCCCUGUCUCUUAUACA
RNAcentral lists this ribosomal RNA (301 nucleotides) under uncultured bacterium. RNAcentral's name for it is "partial 16S ribosomal RNA". It matches the Rfam family "Bacterial small subunit ribosomal RNA", at positions 509 to 808 of the family's 1533-position model. The record is from RNAcentral.